RNAcentral lists this transfer RNA (69 nucleotides) under Chascanopsetta lugubris (pelican flounder). RNAcentral describes it as "tRNA-Glu". It matches the Rfam family "tRNA". Rfam says of the family: Transfer RNA (tRNA) molecules are approximately 80 nucleotides in length. Their secondary structure includes four short double-helical elements and three loops (D, anti-codon, and T loops). The record is from RNAcentral. Lineage: Eukaryota; Metazoa; Chordata; Actinopteri; Pleuronectiformes; Bothidae.
GUUGAUGUAGUUGAAAGACAACAGUGGUUUUUCGAAUCGCCAGUCUUGGUCAAAUUCCAAGUAUUAACC